CCCCUGGUUCAGGAGAGUGAAAUUUCAAUUACUUGUUGAUGACAUGGCGCAGUAUGAAGUACUUGAACAAAUUGGAAAAGGUGCUUUUGGUUCUGCACUUCUUGUCAAGCAUAAGCAUGAGAAGAAAAAAUAUGUUUUGAAGAAGAUUUGCCUUGUCCGUUGUAACGACCCAACUUCUAGCCCGUCAUGACCAAGUCUAGCAGCUAGGCGCUACUAUUCAGUUGACUUUAGGGACUCUAGACCAUAUAUUAAGUGUAUACAUAUGAGACUGUAACGCUAGUCGAGAAUCACGUAUCUAGUCGAGUAUAUCGGAAUAAUUGUAAGUUAAGCAGAUAAUACAAGGAACAGAUAAGCAUAACAAGCAUAAUCAUAGCAUACAUGAAAUGCCCAUAGUUUGGGACCCGAUCUACUUAUUAAAUAAAUACAAAAGAGCUAGCCCUCUAAAAGUCUAUCUAGAGCAAGGGUGCGGAUCCGGAGCUCUCGGGAACCCCUGGCCCAUCGAACCCUAGCUCGGCUGCAGGGGAUGGUGGUGGAGCGUCGGGCAUAGGUAUAUCAGGAACCACUUGAUCCUCUUGACCCUGACAUGCCCUAUGACACACUGCUAGAGGCUAACACAAAACCUUAAGGUAUCAAGUUAAUGGGUUUCCCAUCUUAUAAACUCCUCACUCUUCCUUGCUUUUUUUGAUGUAGGACUAACUUCAACACUCCUCGCGCUUGCAACAUUAACACAUAUGUAUAUACUUAAUAUAUGGUCUAGAGUCCCUAAAAUAAGCUGAAUAGUAACGCCUAGCUGCUAGCCUUGGUCAUGACAGGCUAGAAGUUGGGUCGUUACACCCGUCAAACUGAGCAUUCCCGCAGGUCUGCGAACCAGGAGGUUGGUUCCGAAUAGUGUUUCGACAAAUUAAAUUCCAGACAUCUUGUGUUGUUUUCUGUUAUCUUCAAUCUCCUAAUUGUUGUUGAUGGAGCUCAUUUCCAAACUAAGAAAUCCAUUUAUAGUAGAGUACAAAGAUUCAUGGGUAGAAAGGGUACGGUUCUUCUUUUUUUAUCCUCAUUUAAUUACAAUAAUGGCCUCUAUAAAGCUUGCUUUCAUAUCAUAAAAUUUUCCAAGAAGUUAAACUUAGUCUUAUCUGAUCCUAAGCACAAAUUCAUUUAUUUAUUGUUUUUAUUUGUUGUAGCAAUAAGAAAUUAGUGUAAGCUUUGAUAUCUUGGACUGCAUCUGAAUAUUCAGAGCAAUGUUGAGUAGCAGACUAUUAUAGGUUUUAGCCUUUAGUAGUCGUUGAAUGUAAUGCUAUUCAUUUUCUUGUCAAAAUUAGUGCUUUUUUUC
Molecule: non-coding RNA, 1324 nt
Organism: Arachis ipaensis
Lineage: Eukaryota; Viridiplantae; Streptophyta; Magnoliopsida; Fabales; Fabaceae
Source: RefSeq, a predicted model, not a curated record